UAGAAAAAUAGAAUUACAUCA
This 21-nucleotide non-coding RNA is filed under the name Caenorhabditis elegans. Lineage: Eukaryota; Metazoa; Nematoda; Chromadorea; Rhabditida; Rhabditidae. The record is from RNAcentral.